Molecule: long non-coding RNA, 247 nt
Filed under: Elaeis guineensis (African oil palm)
Lineage: Eukaryota; Viridiplantae; Streptophyta; Magnoliopsida; Arecales; Arecaceae
Description: long non-coding RNA (EGUI_LNC004041)
Source: RNAcentral
UGCUUCUUUCAACACUUUUGGGAUAUGUUAGUGCUGAUAUCUUAUUUCUUUUCAAGCAAAUCUCUGAAAGUAACCUCAACUUAGAAAGAUUGAAUUUUGCUAUCCUUUCUUUAAUUCCAAAAAAAAGAUGCAAUGAAAGCUCUAUCAGACUUCAGGCCAAUUAGCCUCAUCCACAGUUGUAUGAAGAUUUUCACUAGGAUCUUAGCUAAUAGGUUGCAGUCUUUCAUGCAUCAGCUUAUUGAUCGAG